Molecule: ribosomal RNA, 253 nt
Filed under: uncultured bacterium
Lineage: Bacteria
Description: partial 16S ribosomal RNA
Rfam family: Bacterial small subunit ribosomal RNA
Source: RNAcentral
UACGUAGGUGGCAAGCGUUGUCCGGAUUUACUGGGUGUAAAGGGCGUGUAGGCGGGAAUGUAAGUCAGAUGUGAAACUCCAGGGCUCAACUCUGGAACUGCAUCUGAAACUAUGUUUCUUGAGUGAUGGAGAGGAAAGCGGAAUUCCUAGUGUAGCGGUGAAAUGCGUAGAUAUUAGGAGGAACACCAGUGGCGAAGGCGGCUUUCUGGACAUUAACUGACGCUGAGGCGCGAAAGCGUGGGGAGCAAACAGG